Molecule: ribosomal RNA, 460 nt
Filed under: uncultured bacterium
Lineage: Bacteria
Description: partial 16S ribosomal RNA
Rfam family: Bacterial small subunit ribosomal RNA
Source: RNAcentral
CCUACGGGAGGCAGCAGUGAGGAAUAUUGGUCAAUGGGCGCGAGCCUGAACCAGCCAAGUCGCGUGAGGGAUGACGGUCCUACGGAUUUUAAACCUCUUUUGCCGGGGAGCAAGCGUGCGUUCGUGAACGCGCGUCGAUAGUACCCGGCAAAAAAGCAUCGGCUAACUCCGUGCCAGAAGCCGCGGUAAUACGGGGGAUGCGAGCGUUAUCCGGAUUUAUUGGGUUAAAAGGGUGCGUAGGCGGGAUGCCCAUUAAGCGGUAAAAAUGCGGUGCUUACCGCCGGCGAGCCGUUGACACUGGCGUGCUUGAGUGGACGAGAAGUAGGCGGAAUGCGUGGUGUAGCGGUGAAAUGCAUAGAUAUCACGCAGAACUCCGAUUGCGAAGGCAGCAUACCGGCGCCCUACUGACGCUGAGGCACGAAAGCGUGGGUAUCGAACAGGAUUAGAUACCCGUGUAGUC